AGUGAACGCUGGCGGUAGGCCUAACACAUGCAAGUCGAACGGCAGCACAGUAAGAGCUUGCUCUUACGGGUGGCGAGUGGCGGACGGGUGAGGAAUACAUCGGAAUCUACUUUUUCGUGGGAGAUAACGUAGGGAAACUUACGCUAAUACCGCAUACGACCUACGGGUGAAAGCAGGGGAUCUUCGGACCUUGCGCGAUUGAAUGAGCCGAUGUCGGAUUAGCUAGUUGGCGGGGUAAAGGCCCACCAAGGCGACGAUCCGUAGCUGGUCUGAGAGGAUGAUCAGCCACACUGGAACUGAGACACGGUCCAGACUCCUACGGGAGGCAGCAGUGGGGAAUAUUGGACAAUGGGCGCAAGCCUGAUCCAGCCAUACCGCGUGGGUGAAGAAGGCCUUCGGGUUGUAAAGCCCUUUUGUUGGGUAAGAAAAGCAGCAGGUUAAUACCCCGCUGUUCUGACGGUACCCAAAGAAUAAGCACCGGCUAACUUCGUG
RNAcentral lists this ribosomal RNA (492 nucleotides) under uncultured bacterium. RNAcentral's name for it is "partial 16S ribosomal RNA". It matches the Rfam family "Bacterial small subunit ribosomal RNA", at positions 29 to 507 of the family's 1533-position model. The record is from RNAcentral.